UACGUAGGGGGCAAGCGUUGUCCGGAUUUACGGGGCGUAAAGAGCGUGUAGGCGGCCAAGCAGGUCCGUUGUGAAAACUGGAGGCUUAACCUCCAGACGUCGACGGAAACCGCGUGGCUAGAGUCCGGAAGAGGAGAGUGGAAUUCCUGGUGUAGCGGUGAAAUGCGCAGAUAUCAGGAAGAACACCAAUGGCGAAGGCAGCUCUCUGGGACGGUACUGACGCUGAGACGCGAAAGCGUGGGGAGCGAACAGG
RNAcentral lists this ribosomal RNA (253 nucleotides) under uncultured bacterium. Its description in RNAcentral is "partial 16S ribosomal RNA". It matches the Rfam family "Bacterial small subunit ribosomal RNA", at positions 524 to 776 of the family's 1533-position model. The record is from RNAcentral.